UACGGAGGAUGCGAGCGUUAUCCGGAUUUAUUGGGUUUAAAGGGUGCGUAGGCGGAUUGAUAAGUUAGAGGUGAAAUGUCCGAGCUCAACUCGGGAACUGCCUCUAAUACUGUUGAUCUAGAGAGUAGAUGCGGUAGGCGGAAUGUAUGGUGUAGCGGUGAAAUGCUUAGAGAUCAUACAGAACCCCGAUUGCGAAGGCAGCGUGCCGUGCCGCCACUGACGCUGAGGCACGAAAGCGCGGGGAUCGAACAGG
Molecule: ribosomal RNA, 253 nt
Filed under: uncultured Rikenellaceae bacterium
Lineage: Bacteria; Pseudomonadati; Bacteroidota; Bacteroidia; Bacteroidales; Rikenellaceae
Description: partial 16S ribosomal RNA
Rfam family: Bacterial small subunit ribosomal RNA
Source: RNAcentral